RNAcentral lists this long non-coding RNA (836 nucleotides) under Citrus x clementina. Its description in RNAcentral is "Citrus clementina (C. clementina) long non-coding RNA (CCLE_LNC000883)". Lineage: Eukaryota; Viridiplantae; Streptophyta; Magnoliopsida; Sapindales; Rutaceae. The record is from RNAcentral.
AAAACUAAAGAUUAAGUCACCUGUAAAUCUAUAAUUUAUGCCCGUGACCCUUACAUGUACAAUGUUUUGCUUGCGCAUGAUAAUUCAUUUAAUAAUACCGGCCAGUCUUUCUUUUAUCUGCGUUGUUCAUCACGUAAAAACUCUUUUGCACAUAAGAUCAUUUUCUUUUUCAUCACGUUACUUCUAGACACAAGAAAUUGAACAGCCAACUUCCUCCAUUCAUCCUCUAAUUUAUACUCUUUGAAAUAACAAACAAACAAAAUUUAGGUCAGUAGUAAGAUCAAGUAAAUUUUGUGCAAUGCAGAUUCAAUAUCAUUUCUAUCUAAUCUUAUCCACUCAAGAUAUCCACGAAAAUCUAAAUUUUCACAAAACCAAAUGGUUGACUAACCAUGCAAUCAGGAAUUUGUGCUAUAGUAAGGUUCUCCAUCCACCAAAUCACAAACAUACCACAUAUAUACCCAUUACACUGUCUCGAAAUUCUUUAUUGUUUGUGAUGGGAAUGAAAACUCUGAAAUCUAAAGUCGCUCCCAUGUAACAUCCGAAUUUGUCCUUCAAUAUCUCAUUAAGUGCUUUCAACUAUAGUGAUUAAAAAAACAAUGCAAUCAGUGUGUACUCUAAAUGACGAAAUGGAAACAUAAAAGGUAGAAGAUAGUUGAAAUAAAGUUUAUUGUUGAAACAAAGUUUUUGAAUAAUCAAGUUUAUUGAAUAAUUAUGGAUUGACAAAGAUUACCAAAAUAGAUAAAUCUAAAAUAUUAUUUUAUGAUAAAAUUUUCCUAAUCUAAAUAAGAAAAGAAAAACAAAUGGUGUCUAAAUCUGAAUUCUAGGAAAAAAAAAAA